CUGACUGCAAUAACCAACCAAGAUUCCAGAGGAUAGAUGAUGAUGCAGCAUACUAACCACAAUCCUGACAAGGAGGUGAUGGACUCAAGGUACUAUGCAUAUAAUCCUGUUAAACUCACAUGACGUAGUGGAGCUGACUAGGAUCAUGAGGUGAUUUCCUCUCUAACCAAAGAUGAUGAAGAUGAGUUAAAAUAAAUUUCUACAUUUGAAUAUCCA
RNAcentral lists this long non-coding RNA (216 nucleotides) under Monodelphis domestica (gray short-tailed opossum). Its description in RNAcentral is "lncRNA (ENSMODG00000040386.1)". The record is from RNAcentral. Lineage: Eukaryota; Metazoa; Chordata; Mammalia; Didelphimorphia; Didelphidae.